AAAUUGUUCAAAGAGUAAAAAAUCAUGUCUUCAUAACAUAUUCAAGAUUUUUCAUAAAAUAUUUACAUGUUCAAAAAUGUUUGAGAUUUUAUAAUUUUAUUCACAAUUCUAAAAAAGGUUUGUGUUCCAAAAAGUAAUCGCUUUUCCAAAGAAAAAUAAUUAUUUUGAAGUUUCCAAAAAUGUCCCGCGCUGCCUAUUACCACUUUUGUCCUGGGUUUUUUAGUCCCCCUUGUAUUUAGGGUCAUAUUUCAACCAUGAUUUUAACUAAUAAAAUAUAUGUUAUACAUAGCAAAAUAAUAUUCAUUGAAACUAUGUUCAAAUAUGAAUCAGCCGGUAUAAUUUUUGUAUACAUGCAUUGACAUUUUAUUAGUUAAAUCUUUGGCCAAUAAAUACGAAGGCUAGGCACGCACGCUCACUUUUUGGGAAAUUUUCGCUGUUCAAAGUUCAAACUAAGGUCGGCCCAGUUGGGGGGCACCUUGUGUGAAGGAGCUCGAGCUGUCGCGUGAGCGACAUAUAUGACCUCUCAUGCAGCUUAGACACUGCAACCAUAGUCUUCAUUCCCGAUUCUCAUAUCCACACUACUACAUGCAACACAAAAUUCAUCUAUGUACAUUGCUAGACUAUCUACUCGUCAUCAGAUAUGUCGAUGACGCCCUUGCAGAAGCCGUCGACCUUGUCGUUAUUGGCAGCGAGGCAAAUUUCCGGCGCGUCUUUAUCGUCUCCUCGACUGCAAUGAGCUCCUCACGCGCCAUGUCCACCUCGUGGAUGUAGCGGCGGCUUCCCUCGCCCUCAAGCUCCGGCUGGAUGGACUCAAUGAUGGUCUGCUGCUCUGCCGCCUCCUCUACUUGUGCGACACCGAACUCCACCAGCGCAUCCUCAAUGGCGAAUUCGGUCUGCUCCAACGUUAUUACACAUCGGUAGGCAAACUCAGGCAACGGUAAUAUCUGUUCCGAGCAGCCAUCCUAGGCAAAAGUUAUUACACAAUGCCUCCUCUAGGCCCAUAAAGUGAAGUGAUAUGUAGUUGAGGCUCACACAUGAGUUACGCCACAACAUAAUAUCAAAACAUUGAACUUUACUUAAUUUCACAUGGUUACUAACAACAAGGUUUCUCCCAAGUCCUCAAGAACCUAACGGACUACUCAGAAGACAUCAUAUAGACAUGAUCAGUGGAGGUGAUGAUAUGAUAAAAAAAUAACAUACAAAUAUUUCACCGAUUAAUCCUCUAAGCAUCAAAUGCAAGUAGUAAUGUAUACCCGGAGGUGAUCUCAUCAACUAAUCUGAAGUAAUAGUUCAUAGGUGGAAAAGUAGGGUUGGAGACGGAUGAUGAUUGGAGUGGUUCGUGUGGUGAUGAUGAUAUAACGAUGAAUGGAGUGUUGGUGAUGUCGAUGGCUUUGAUUCCCCACCCCAAGAGGAAGGAUCCUAGAGAAUCAACCCUCUGAGAGGAAAACCUGCUCCGCUCGGUUUCCGCCUCGAAGAUAGCGGCGAAAAAAUCCGGUAAAAUAGAACUGUGGGUUUUGGGGUAAAAUAGGAUUAGGGGUUCCCUGUGGGACCCACCCGCCGUUGUCUCACGACCCAAGGCCUAGACGGAUGGGCCCCAUAGGGGCCUCCUCGACACAUGUAUGCCCCUGGCUCUCUUCCCAUGAGAAAUUUUUAAUUAUUUUUCCAUUUUCUUUCUAGCUCCGCAAAUAUAUUUUGUUCACUCUUCCUUAUGUUAGUGCUUUUCUACAACUUAACGACAAUUUCUUCUCCUCCGGUACAAUAUGCAAAAUAAGAUAGAAAGGUAUGAGAAUUAUGUGAUAUUAUAAAACAUGUAUAAAAAUGAGUAAUUUAUACUAAGAAAUGGUGAUGCAAAAUGAACGUAUCAUUGCUCUCAACAAAGUUCUUGCAAAGCAUGGCGAGAAAGAAGUUCAUGAAGAAGCAAACAAAGUGUCUGAACUUAUUGACAACUUUCUCAAAGAGCAAGGCAAGAGGGAGUUCUUCAAGAAGCUUCUAGAAGUUUUAGAUUUAGAGGCAUAACAAGACUAAAGAUCAUCUCUUGUUGCUACUCUAGUCUAGGUGGGUAAUCUAGUCCUUCUUUCAAACUACUAGAUAACCUAUUGCGUCAUUGGCGCAGAGACCAACUGCAGGUUGAUCUUGUCCAUCUUUUAGCAUCUAGUCAUGUCUUCACUCUUUUCCCUUUUCGUAUUUUAGUAUAUGCGUUUUGCUUGUAGCAUAAUAUACAUUUAUUACCAAGGAUUGUAAAAUUGCUUGUUUCCAUUUUUUUAGCUUAAUAUUCACGCAUGGGCAUAAAACGACUGCAACCGGGGUCAAGAGGGGUAGUUUGGCCAGUUGCCUAUCCACCAUUAGACAUGCAACUACAAGCGUUAUAACCCGACUGCAAUUUCAUGGGCACAAAGCGACUACAACUAAGGUCGAAGGGUGAGUUUUCAGGCUAGACAUUCAACUAGAACCAUUGUAUUUUGACCGCAACUAGACUGACACAAAGCAACUUCAAUUGGGGUCGGUAGGGGGGUUGUUGGGACCUGUUGCAUGUCCACCACUAGACAUCCAACUGCAAACGUUGUAACCCAACUGCAACUCCACGGGCACGAAGCUACUACAAUUGAGGUCUGAAGUGAAGUUGUUGGGGCCAGUGAAGGAAAUAUGCCCUAGAGGCAAUAAUAAACUUAUUAUUUAUUUCCUUAUUUCAUGAUAAAUGUUUAUUAUUCAUGCUAGAAUUGUAUUAUCCGGAAACAUAAUACUUGUGUGAAUACAUAGACAAACCAAACGUCACUAGUAUGCCUCUACUUGACUAGCUCGUUAAUCAAAGAUGGUUAUGUUUCCUAACCAUAGACAUGUGUUGUCAUUUGAUUAACGAGAUCACAUUAUUAGGAGAAUGAUGUGAUUGACAUGACCCAUUCCAUUAGCUUAGCACCCGAUCGUUUAGUAUGUUGCUAUUGCUUUCUUCAUGACUUAUACAUGUUCCUAUGACUAUGAGAUUAUGCAACUCCCGUUUGCCGGAGGAACACUUUGUGUGCUACCAAACGUCACAACGUAACUGGGUGAUUAUAAAGGAUCUCUACAGGUGUCUCCAAAGGUAAAUGUUGGGUUGGCGUAUUUCGAGAUUAGGAUUUGUCACUCCGACUGUCGGAGAGGUAUCUCUGGGCCCUCUCGGUAAUGCACAUCACAUAAGCCUUGCAAGCAUUGCAACUAAUGAGUUGGUUGCGAGAUGAUGUAUUACGAAACGAGUAAAGAGACUUGCCGGUAACGAGAUUGAACUAGGUAUUGAGAUACCGACGAUCGAAUCUCGGGCAAGUAACAUACCGAUGACAAAGGGAACAGUGUAUGUUGUUAUGCGGUCUGACCGGUAAAGAUCUUCGUAGAAUAUGUGGGAGCCAAUAUGAGCAUCCAGGUUCCGCUAUUGGUUAUUGACCGGAGACAUGUCUCGGUCAUGUCUACAUUGUUCUCGAACCCGUAGGGUCCGCACGCUUAAGGUUUUGAUGAUAGUUAUAUUAUGAGUUUAUGCAUUUUGAUGUACCAAAGUUUGUUCGGAGUCCCGGAUGUGAUCACGGACAUGACGAGGAGUCUCAAAAUGGUCGAGACAUAAAGAUUGAUAUAUUGGAAGCCUAAAUUUGGAUAUCGGAAGUGUUCCGGGUGAAAUCGGGAUUUUACCGGAGUACCGGGAGGUUACCGGAACCCCCCGGGAGGUAUAUGGGCCUUAGUGGGCUUUAGUGGAAGAGAGGAUAGGUGGCCAGGGCUGGGCCGCGCGCCCCUCCCCCCUAGUCCGAAUAGGACAAGGAGAGGGGGGCGGCGCCCCCCCUUCCUUCUCUCUCUCCUCUUUCCCCCUCCCGAAUCCUAUUCCAACUAGGAAAGGGGGGAAUCCUACUCCCGGUGGGAGUAGGACUCCUCCUGGCGCGCCCUCCUCCUGGACGGCCGCACCCCUCCUUUGAUCCUUUAUAUACGGGGGCAGGGGGCACCCCUAGACACACAAGUUGAUCCACGUGAUCAUAUUCUUAGCCGUGUGCGGUGCCCCCUUCCACCAUAAUCCUCGAUAAUAUUGUAGCGGUGCUUAGGCGAAGCCCUGCGACGGUAGAGCAUCAAGAUCGUCACCACGCCGUCGUGCUGACGGAACUCUUCCCCGACACUUUGCUGGAUCGGAGUCCGGGGAUCGUCAUCGAGCUGAACGUGUGCUAGAACUCGGAGGUGCCGUAGUUUCGGUGCUUGAUCGGUCGGGCCGUGAAGACGUACGACUACAUCAACCGCGUUGUGCUAACGCUUCCGCUGUCGGUCUACAAGGGUACGUAGAUCACACUCUCCCCUCUCGUUGCGAUACAUCACCAUGAUCUUGCGUGUGCGUAGGAAAAUUUUGAAAUUACUACGUUCCCCAACAGUGGCAUCCGAGCCUAGGUUUUAUGUGUUGAUGUUAUAUGCACGAGUAGAACACAAGUGAGUUGUGGGCGAUAUAAGUCAUACUGCUUACCAGCACGUCAUACUUUGGUUCGGCGGUAUUGUUGGACGAAGCGGCCCGGACCGACAUUACGCGUACGCUUACGCGAGACCGGUUCUCCCGACGUGCUUUGCACAUAGGUGGCUUGCGGGUGACAGUUUCUCCAACUUUAGUUGAACCGAGUGUGGCUAUGCCCAGUCCUUGCGAAGGUUAAAACAGCACCAACUUGACAAACUAUCGUUGUGGUUUUGAUGCGUAGGUAAGAUUGGUUCUUGCUUAAGCCCGUAGCAGCCACGUAAAACUUGCAACAACAAAGUAGAGGACGUCUAACUUGUUUUUGCAGGGCAUGUUGUGAUGUGAUAUGGUCAAGACAUGAUGCUAAAUUUUAUUGUAUGAGAUGAUCAUGUUUUGUAACCGAGUUAUCGGCAACUGGCAGGAGCCAUAUGGUUGUCGCUUUAUUGUAUGCAAUGCAAUUGCGCUAUAAUGCUUUACUUUAUCACUAAGCGGUAGCGAUAGUCGUGGGAGCAUAAGAUUGGCGAGACGACAACGAUGCUACGAUGGAGAUCAAGGUGUCGCGCCGGUGACGAUGGUGAUCACGACGGUGCUUCGAAGAUGGAGAUCACAAGCAUAAGAUGAUGAUGGCCAUAUCAUAUCACUUAUAUUGAUUGCAUGUGAUGUUUACCUUUUAUGCAUCUUAUCUUGCUUUGAUUGACGGUAGCAUUAUAAGAUGAUCUCUCACUAAUUAUCAAGAAGUGUUCUCCCUGAGUAUGCACCGUUGCGAAAGUUCUUUGUGUUGAGACACCACGUGAUGAUCGGGUGUGAUAGGCUCUACGUUCAAAUACAACGGGUGCAAAACAGUUGCACACGCAGAAUACUCAGGUUAUACUUGACGAGCCAAGCAUAUACAGAUAUGGCCUCGGAACACGGAGACCGAAAGGUCGAGCGUGAAUCAUAUAGCAGAUAUGAUCAACAUAGUGAUGUUCACCAAUGAAACUACUCCAUCUCACGUGAUGAUCGGACAUGGUUUAGUUGAUUUGGAUCACGUAAUCACUUAGAGGAUUAGAGGGAUGUUUAUCUAAGUGGGAGUUCUUAAGUAAUAUGAUUAAUUGAACCUAAAUUUAUCAUGAACUUAGUACCUGAUAGUAUCUUGCUUGUUUAUGUUUUAUUGUAGAUAGAUGGCCCGUGUUGUUGUUCCGUUGAAUUUUAAUGCGUUCCUUGAGAAAGCAAAGUUGAAAGAUGAUGGUAGCAAUUACACGGACUGGGUCCGUAACUUGAGGAUUAUCCUCAUUGCUGCAUAGAAGAAUUACGUCCUGGAAGCACCGCUAGGUGCCAGGCCUACUGCUGGAGCAACACCAGAUGUUAUGAACGUCUGGAAGAGCAAAGCUGAUGACUACUCAAUAGUUCAGUGUGCCAUGCUUUACGGCUUAGAAUCGGGACUUCAACGACGUUUUGAACGUCAUGGAGCAUAUGAGAUGUUCCAUGAGUUGAAGUUAAUAUUUCAAGCAAAUGCCCGGAUUGAGAGAUAUAAAGUCUCCAAUAAGUUCUAUAGCUGAAAGAUGGAGGAGAACAGUUCUGUCAGUGAGCAUAUACUCAAAAUGUCUGGGUAUAAUAAUCACUUGAUUCAAUUGGGAGUUAAUCUUCCAGAUGAUUGCGUCAUUGACAGAAUUCUUCAAUCACUGCCACCAAGCUACAAGAGCUUCAUGAUGAACUAUAAUAUGCAAGGGAUGAAUAAGACUAUUCCUGAGCUCUUCGCAAUGCUGAAAGCUGCGGAGGUAGAAAUCAAGAAGGAGCAUCAAGUGUUGAUGGUCAACAAGACCACUAGUUUCAAGAAAAAGAGCAAAGGGAAGAAGAAGGGGAACUUUAGAAAGAAUAGCAAGCAAGUUGCUACUCAAGAGAAGAAACCCAAACCUGGACCUAAGCCUGAAACUGAGUGCUUCUACUGCAAGCAGACUGGUCACUGGAAGCGGAACUUCCCCAAGUAUUUGGCGGAUAAGAAGGAUGGCAAGGUGAACAAAGGUAUAUGUGAUAUACAUGUUAUUGAUGUGUACCUUACUAAUGCUCGCAGUAGCAUCUGGGUAUUUGAUACUGGUUCUGUUGCUAAUAUUUGCAACUCGAAACAGGGACUACGGAUUAAGCGAAGAUUGACUAAGGACGAGGUGACGAUGCGCGUAGGAAAUGGUUCCAAAGUCGAUGUGAUCGCAGUCGGCACGCUACCUCUACAUCUACCUUCGAGAUUAGUAUUAGACCUAAAUAAUUGUUAUUUGGUGCCAGCGUUAAGCAUGAACAUUAUAUCUGGAUCUUGUUUGAUGCGAGACAGUUAUUCAUUUAAAUCAGAGAAUAAUGGUUGUUCUAUUUAUAUGAGUAAUAUCUUUUAUGGUCAUGCACCCUUAAAGAGUGGUCUAUUCUUAUUAAAUCUCGAUAGUAGUGACACACAUAUUCAUAGUGUUGAAGCCAAAAGAUGCAGAGUUGAUAAUGAUAGUGCAACUUAUUUGUGGCACUGCCUUUUGGGUCAUAUCGGUAUAAAGCACAUGAAGAAACUCCAUACUGAUGGGCUUUUGGAACCACUUGAUUAUGAAUCACUUGGUACUUGCGAACCGUGCCUUAUGGGUAAGAUGAUAAAAACACCGUUCUCCGGUACUAUGGAGAUAGCAACAGAUUUAUUGGAAAUCAUACAUACAGAUGUAUGUGGUCCGAUGAAUGUUGAGGCUCGUGGCGGAUGUCGUUAUUUUCUCACCUUCACAGAUGACUUAAGCAGAUAUGGGUAUAUCUACUUAAUGAAACAUAAGUCUGAAACAUUUGAAAGUUCAAAGAAUUUCAGAGUGAAGUUGAAAAUCAUCGUAACAAGAAAAUAAAAUUCCUACGAUCUGAUCAUUGAGGAGAAUAUUUGAGUUACGAGUUUGGUGUACAUUUGAAACAAUGUGGAAUAGUUUCGCAACUCACGCCACCCGGAACACCACAGCGUAAUGGUGUGUCCGAACGUCGUAAUCGUACUUUACUAGAUAUGGUGCGAUCUAUGAUGUCUCUUACUGAUUUACCGCUAUCAUUUUGGGGAUAUGCUCUAGAGACGGCCGCAUUCAUGUUAAAUAGGGCACCAUCAAAAUCCGUUGAGACGACGCCUUAUGAACUGUGAUUUGGCAAGAAACCAAAGUUGUCGUUUCUGAAAGUUUGGGGCUGCGAUGCUUAUGUGAAAAAGCUUCAACCUGAUAAGCUCGAACCCAAAUCGGAGAAAUGUGUCUUCAUAGGAUAUCCAAAGGAAACUAUUGGAUGCACCUUCUAUCACAGAUCCGAAGGCAAGACUUUUGUUGCUAAAUUCGGAAACUUUCUGGAGAAGGAGUUUCUCUCGAAAGAAGUGAGUGGGAGGAAAGUAGAACUUGACGAGGUAACUGUACCUACUCCCUUAUUGGAAAGUAGUACAUCAUAGAAAACUGUUUCAGUGACACCUACACCAAUUAGUGAGGAAGCUAAUGAUGAUGAUCAUAAAACUUUAGAUCAAGAUACUACUGAACCUCGUAGAUCAACCAGAGUGAGAUCCGCGCCAGAGUGGUACGGUAAUCCUGUUCUGGAAGUCAUGCUACUAGAUCAUGAUGAACCUACGAACUAUGAAGAAGCGAUAGUGAGCCCAGAUUCCGCAAAAUGGCUUGAAGCCAUGAAAUCUGAGAUGGGAUCCAUGUAUGAGAACAAAGGAUGGACUUUGGUUGACUUGCCCGACGAUCGGCAAGCAAUUGAAAAUAAAUGGAUCUUCAGGAAGAAGACUGACGCUGACGGUAAUAUUACUAUCUAAAAAGCUCGACUUGUCGCAAAAGGUUUUCGACAAGUUCAAGGGAUUGACUACGAUGAGACCUUCUCACCCGUAGCGAUGCUUAAGUCUGUCCGAAUCAUGUUAGCAAUUGCCGCAUUUUAUGAUUAUGAAAUUUGGCAGAUGGAUGUCAAAACUGCAUUCCUGAAUGGAUUUCUGGAAGAAGAGUUGUAUAUGAUGCAACCAGAAGGUUUUGUCGAUCCAAAGGGAGCUAACAAAGUGUGCAAGCUCCAGCGAUCCAUUUAUGGACUGGUGCAAGCCUCUCGGAGUUGGAAUAAACGCUUUGAUAGUGUGAUCAAAGCAUUUGGUUUUAUACAGACUUUUGGAGAAGCCUGUAUUUACAAGAAAGUGAGUGGGAGCUCUGUAGCAUUUCUGAUAUUAUAUGUAGAUGACAUAUUGCUAAUCGGAAAUGAUAUAGAAUUUCUAGAUAGCAUAAAAGGAUACUUGAAUAAGAGUUUUUCAAUGAAAGACCUCGGUGAAGCUGCUUACAUAUUGGUCAUUAAGAUCUAUAGAGAUAGAUCAAGACGCUUAAUUGGACUUUCACAAAGCACAUACCUUGACAAAGUUUUGAAGAAGUUCAAAAUGGAUCAAGCAAAGAAAGGAUUCUUGCCUGUGUUACAAGGUAUGAAAUUGAGUAAGACUCAAUCCCCGACCAAUGCAGAAGAUAGAGAGAAAAUGAAAGAUGUUCCCUAUGCUUCAGCCAUAGGCUCUAUCAUGUAUGCAAUGUUGUGUACCAGACCUGAUGUGUGUCUUGCUAUAAGUCUAGCAGGGAGGUACCAAAGUAAUCCAGGAGUGGAUCAUUGGACAGCGGUCAAGAACAUCCUGAAAUACCUGAAAAGGACUAAGGAUAUGUUUCUCAUAUAUGGAGGUGACAAAGAGCUCAUCGUAAAUGGUUACGUUGAUGCAAGCUUUGACACUGAUCCGGACGAUUCUAAAUCACAAACUGGAUACGUGUUUACAUUAAACGGUGGAGCUGUCAGUUGGUGCAGUUCUAAACAAAGCGUUGUGGCGGGAUCUACAUGUGAAGCGGAGUACAUAGCUGCUUCGGAAGCAGCAAAGGAAGGAGUUUGGAUGAAGGAGUUCAUAUCCGAUCUAGGUGUCAUACCUAGUGCAUCGGGUCCAAUGAAAAUCUUUUGUGACAAUACUAGUGCAAUUGCCUUGGCAAAGGAAUCCAGAUUUCACAAGAAAACCAAGCACAUCAAGAGACGCUUCAAUUCCAUCCGGAAUCUAGUCCAGGUGGGAGACAUAGAGAUUUGGAAGAUACGUACGGAUCUGAAUAUAGCAGACCCGUUGACUAAGCCUCUUCCACGAGCAAAACAUGAUCAGCACCAAAGCUCCAUGGGUGUUAGAAUCAUUACUGUGUAAUCUAGAUUAUUGACUCUAGUGCAAGUGGGAGACUGAAGGAAAUAUUCCCUAGAGGCAAUAAUAAAGUUAUUAUUUAUUUCCUUAUUUCAUGAUAAAUGUUUAUUAUUCAUGCUAGAAUUGUAUUAUCCGGAAACAUAAUACUUGUGUGAAUACAUAGACAAACCAAACGUCACUAGUAUGCCUCUACUUGACUAGCUCGUUAAUCAAAGAUGGUUAUGUUUCCUAACCAUAGACAUGUGUUGUCAUUUGAUUAACGAGAUCACAUUAUUAGGAUAAUGAUGUGAUUGACAUGACCCAUUCCAUUAGCUUAGCACCCGAUCGUUUAGUAUGUUGCUAUUGCUUUCUUCAUGACUUAUACAUGUUCCUAUGACUAUGAGAUUAUGCAACUCCCGUUUGCCGGAGGAACACUUUGUGUGCUACCAAACGUCACAACGUAACUGGGUGAUUAUAAAGGAUCUCUACAGGUGUCUCCAAAGGUAAAUGUUCGGUUGGCGUAUUUCGAGAUUAGGAUUUGUCACUCUGAUUGUCGGAGAGGUAUCUCUGGGCCCUCUCGGUAAUGCACAUCACAUAAGCCUUGCAAGCAUUGCAACUAAUGAGUUGGUUGCGAGAUGAUGUAUUACGAAACGAGUAAAGAGACUUGCCGGUAACGAGAUUGAACUAGGUAUUGAGAUACCGACGAUCGAAUCUCGGGCAAGUAACAUACCGAUGACGAAGGGAACAACGUAUGUUGUUAUGCGGUCUGACCGAUAAAGAUCUUCGUAGAAUAUGUGGGAGCCAAUAUGAGCAUCCAGGUUCCGCUAUUGGUUAUUGACUGGAGACGUGUCUCGGUCAUGUCUACAUUGUUCUCGAACCCGUAGGGUCCGCACGCUUAAGGUUUCGAUGACAGUUAUAUUAUGAGUUUAUGCAUUUUGAUGUACCAAAGUUUGUUCGGAGUCCCGGAUGUGAUCACGAACAUGACGAGGAGUCUCGAAGUGGUCGAGACAUAAAGAUUGAUAUAUUGGAAGCCUAAAUUUGGAUAUCGGAAGUGUUCCGGGUGAAAUCGGGAUUUUACCAGAGUACCGGGAGGUUAUCGGAACCCCCCGGGAGGUAUAUGGGCCUUAGUGGGCUUUAGUGGAAGAGAGGAGAGGUGGCCAGGGCUGGGCCGCGCGCCCCUCCCCCCUAGUCCGAAUAGGACAAGGAGAGGGGGGCAGCGCCCCCCUUCCUUCUUUCUCUCCUCUUUCCCCCUCCCGAAUCCUAUUCCAACUAGGAAAGGGGGGGGGGGAAUCCUACUCCCGGUGGGAGUAGGACUCCUCCUGGCGCGCCCUCCUCCUGGCCGGCCGCACCCCCCUUUGAUCCUUUAUAUACGGGGGCAGGGGGCACCCCUAGACACACAAGUUGAUCCACGUGAUCAUAUUCUUAGCCGUGUGCGGUGCCCCCUUCCACCAUAAUCCUCGAUAAUAUUGUAGCGGUGCUUAGGCGAAGCCCUGCGACGGUAGAGCAUCAAGAUCGUCACCACACCGUCGUGCUGAUGGAACUCUUCCCCGACACUUUGCUGGAUCGGAGUCCGGGGAUCGUCAUCGAGCUGAACGUGUGCUAGAACUCGGAGGUGCCGUAGUUUCGGUGCUUGAUCGGUCGGGCCAUGAAGACGUACGACUACAUCAACCGCGUUGUGCUAACGCUUCCGCUGUCGGUCUACAAGGGUACGUAGAUCACACUCUCCCCUCUCGUUGCGAUACAUCACCAUGAUCUUGCGUGUGCGUAGGAAAAUUUUGAAAUUACUACAUUCCCCAACAGCCAGUUGCAUGCCACCAGACAUGCAGGUGCAAGUGUUGUAACCCGACUACAACUUCGCGGGCACAAAACGAGUGCAAUUAGGGUUAACUUGAACUUUUUCCCUACUAGUCACACGCGUGUGCCCUGUUGAACACAACGCAUCCAUGCACAAUUACAACCAUCACAACACGUGUGCAACUAGUGUCCAGCUAUUUUUUUUCCUGCUAGUCGCACAUGCGCGAGUUGCACGUGACCCACUCAUGCACAAUUGCAACUAGUGUCCACAUGCGCGAAUUGCACGUGACCACCCAUGCACCAUUGCAAUUGUGGCAACACGUAUGCAACUGGUGUCAACCUUUUUUUUCUUACUAGUCGCAUGUGCAUGGGUUGACCACUAUGCCCCCGUGCGUAAUUGGAAGCGCCUAACUAGAAACUGGACAACUACAACUAAACAAUAGCCCAGUGACCUGGAUAAAUGAGACAUAGUCAUGUCUCAACUAGAUGAGUUCUAGGCGUUCUUAAGGGAUAUAUGCUUUUGUAUAGUUUCUCACACUUGAUGACGGGAGCAAAAUACAUGAUGUUUUAUGAAUGGAAGGUGAACACUACAGUUUUUUUUGUGAGAAGCACAAUACAAACGCAGAAGCUCACAAACACAUAUAUGCAUUCAUAUCUAUAAACACGCGCGCGUGCACACACACAAUACCCCUAUGAGUACGUCCAAGAGACUAAGCAGACUAUUGACUUGGUCAUUAUAGGCGCCUCACUAUCCACGAAAACAUCACCUUCCACCGAAAGUAUAUUCCCUUUUUCUUUGAGACACCAAAGCGUCAAACCCGAGGUUUGAACUCUGUUGGACUUGGGGUAUCACUGCCCUUCUAAAAUUGUAAUGUAGUACAAGAUCAUCAUGCUGCGUGAUAUGCAUCGGAAAGAAGGAAUAGGCAUAGGCGGCGGUUCUUGUGGAUGCACAGUUAGAUGUGUAAAUCUGAAAUUAGUUGGUUAAUGCCUUAUGGAGUAUGGGGUGAUUUAGCAUAGACUUGGUUGGAUCUUGAGCCUUUCUAUUUGAUGGUUCUGCAAUGGCAUCUCGGCAUGUGCAGCGUGUUAUAUUCUUACUAGUUGCAAACUCGAAGGCGGUCAACCUUUUUUUUAAGUCGGCCCUGGAGGAUCUCGAUUUAUAUAUUAAAAAGGAGAGAAGAAUUUCCUGGUUAAUAUGCAGAAAACCGGUUACUUUUUUCUGUGACAGUGAAGGCGGUCAACAAGUAUUUGCUUUCAUGAGGCAUGAUGAACAAGCUACUAAUGCUGUCACCUUUUAUUAGAAGUGCUUCAGUACACUCCGAAAACUGCAAAACAAAAAAGGUAUUUUUCGUCCAUCAAAAUAAAUCAAAAGAUUUCGGCUCAAAAACAAUCAAAAGAUCAACCCCCAAUUGUGUAAUUAAUUAAUUGAUUUAGGCCUAUAAUAACAACCAAAGCAUGUUAAUCACCAUAUUACAGUGCCAGCAACUUGGAUAGAUGGUUCGAUAGACAUUUACACAGAUGCAUAACUACACGUUAGAGUAAUAACUUGCAUAGAUGGGUUCUCCAAGUACAGAUAGUUAGAUCUGCUUCGUGCCUUCAUCCAACCACCAUUGCUGUGGCGUUCUUGGGCGGGCCGCGUGCACGGAUCGUCGGGGGCGGGGGCGUGUACUCGACGUACGGCCUGGGGAGCUCGACGUAGCCCUUGGUGAGCAGGUCGACGCGCAUCUUGGCGACGAGGAACCGCGAGUUGUCGGGGUCGUCCCUCUUCUUCUCCGGCUUCAUCUCCCCGUCCAGCAUCCGCCUCCGCUCACCCAGCCACACGAGCGGAUCCACCCCGGCGGGCGGGUAGUCAUCGGCGCUGAAAGUCAACCGCCAGUUGGCGCACUCGAAGGUGGCGAUGAUGCUCUUGUCGUCCAGGCGAACCAUGCCAUGGACGGUCGGGGGCGCGGUGGAGGGCGUGGACUCCCUGAUGACCCUGUCGACCGCGUGGUAGAGCUGAAGCUCGUCCAGCGCCGCCGCCUCGGGGAAGGUUAGCAGGUUCGACUUGAUCCUCUCCCGCUGCAUAGCGAGGGCGGCCGGCGAAGGGGGCGCCUCGCCCGCCCCGGCAUUGCGAACAUCGCCGGAGCCGGGCGCCUUCCUUUUGAUGCCGGGCAUCGGCGGGUGGAUCUACUGGCUACUGCCUCGCCGCGGAAAGUGGGACGGAUUUUGGGGGAUUGGGGACUUGGUGCGGCGGCGGCGGCGUCGUCUCGAUUUCUAUAUAAAGGCAGAAACUUGGACCAUUUUUGUUGAGAGAGAUCGACGGACGAAAUCACUAUUCUGACCCUUUGAACGAACUUUGUCACAAAAUGAACUCGACGUGAAAGUAUUUCACGAUCUAACCCUUUUAGCAACGCCAUAGCCCGCGGCGUUUCUGCUCAAAGAAGAAACACCGAGGUAGCUAGUGUUUCUGAUCAAAGAAGAAACACUGAGGUAGCUAGCAUUGCGGACCAGAUAAGAAACGCCGAAGGCGCUGGCGUUUCUGGCCAUCAUAGAAACGCCAAGGAACCAUGGCGUUGCUGCCCUCUUUGGUCAUAAUUAAUUAGCCUUAUUAAUUAGGUUGUUCAUCAUUAGUAGAAAAAGGGUCAAACGUGAAGCACAUUAGUGUCGGUUUGUAUUUGAGCCAGCACUAAUGUAUACAUUAGUGCCGGUUCCAACGGCUAGCCGGGCCGCUUUCAUUAGUACCGGUUCGUGGCGAACCUUUAGCACCGGUUCGUGCCACGAACCGGUACUAAUGAGAGUGGUGGCAGGAUGUUGUCAGACUGGGGCCCCUCCAGUCCCUUUAGUACCGGUUCUUGGCACGAACCGGUACUAAAGGUCAUCCUACAUAGACCCUUCGUCCACCCGAGCUCGCUCUGUUCUUCCCCUUUUCCCUCUCCUCUCUGUUCUUCCCCUCUUCCUCUCAAGCUCAUCACACAUUUUGCCCAAAAUUUGUCAAGAGUUGAAGGCCCCCAUCCAUUCAAAUCAUCACAAAGGUUAGCAAUUUUGUCCUUUCAUCUCUCAUUGCUAGAUUAGCUUGUGCAAUGCUUUAUAUAGUGAUUGAUUUUUGAGUUUAGUAAUUUGGGAGGAUAUAUAUAUAUAUAUGUGUGUGUGUGUGUGUGUGUGUGUGCGCGCGCGCGCUAGUAUUUAAUUUAUAUGCAAUUUGAGGUCAAAAAUAACACUUAGUUUGCAUAUGUAGGUGUGGUUUACUUAGUGCCUUCUAAAUCUCCGUCGUAACCAUCGUCGAUCGCCCGCACCGUCCCGUCGCCGGCACCACCUUGUGGUGAGCCUCUUGUUCACGAAAUUUUAUAUAAAAAUUGAUGUUUGUGUGAUUUGGAUAUAUAGUUGCUCGUAUAAUUAUCUUACCCGUACGUUGUUUGUUAUACAUAUAGUGCCAUGGUUUUGAUAUCCGUCCCCGUCGGCCCUCGUCCUUGUUAUGAUUCGGAUGUGGUAUAUAUAUUCUCUUUUAAAACUAGUUGCAUUUCGUGUUUAUGAAAAAUUAUGCCCAUCAAGUUGACAUAGAUAUUUGUAUGUAGGAGGUAGUUGAACCGGAAAUUCCACCCAACCCUAUUGUCGAGAGGUUAAAUUUAGUUGAAAGAGAAAACGAGGAUUUGAAGGAAAAAUUGAAAAGAAUUGAGGGGGAGAAGAUGGAAUUGGAGUUGCAUGUUGCCGAUGUCGUCGAUGAUCACAAGAUCAAGAUGGAGAAAAUGCGCUUGAAGAUUAGAAAGAUUAGAAAAUAUGCCAUCGAUAGUGAGGCUUGGUAUCAUUAUGCUGUUGGAUCCAUUGUUACCUUAGUUGCGAUCUUGAUCGUAUUUGUUGUUACAUUUAAAUGCUUUAGCUAGAGAGUUAUUUGUUUGUUGCAUUUAAGUGUUGUAUGAAUUUUAUGUAUGAACUUGUAUUAAUUUGGUUUAUUUGGUGUUGUGUAAUGAAGAUAAGCCGGCAAUGGAUGUAUGAUGACCGAUGUUCUCCCCAGUUCGUUGAGGGCGUGCAUACUUUUCUGCUUGCGGCUGAGGCAAACAAGCGGGCGGAUGGUUUUAUGCCUUGUCCAUGUGCUCGCUGUAAGAAUGGUCACAAUUACUCUACGUCAAGAACCAUUCACGUCCACCUGUUUAAGUCCGGUUUCAUGCCCCACUAUAAUGUUUGGACCAAGCACGGAGAAAUAGGGGUUAUGAUGGAAGACAAUGAAGAAGAAGAGGACGACGACAGCUAUCCUGGCCAUGGGUUCCCUGAAUAUGAUGAUACAACAAUGGGGGAAGAAGCUGAGCCGGUAAUGCGGGAAGAAGCUGAGCCGGCAAUGCGGGAAGAAGCUGAAGAAAAGGCAUCAGAUGAGCCCGUUGAUGAUCUAGGUCGGGCCAUUGCCGAUGCAAAGAGAAACUGCGCAAGUGAUUUGAAGAAGAAGAAGUUGCAGCGCAUGUUAGAGGAUCACAAAAAAUUGUUGUACCCGAAUUGCGUAGGUGACAAGAAAAAGCUGGGCACCACACUGGAAUUGCUGCAAUGGAAGGCAGAGAAUGGUGUAUCUGACAAGGGAUUUGGAAAGCUGCUGGUAAUGAUAAAGGAUAUGCUUCCAAAGGACAAUGAAUUGCCCGAGAGUACGUACGAAGUAAAGAAGGCUGUCUGCCCUCUAGGGUUAGAGGUGCAGAACAUACAUGCAUGCCCUAAUGAUUGCAUCCUCUACCGCGGUGAGUACGAGGAUUUGAACGCUUGCCCGGUAUGUGGUGCAUUGCGCUAUAAAAUCAGCCGCGAUGACCCUGGUGAUGUCGAGGGUGAGCGCCCCAGGAAGAAGAUUCCUGCCAAGGUGAUGUGGUAUGCUUCUAUAAUACCACGGUUGAAACGUUUGUUCCAAAACAAAGAGCAUGCCAAGGCGAUGCGAUGGCACAGAGAAGACCGUAAGAAAGACGGAAAGUUGAGAGUACCCGCUGACGGGUCGCAAUGGAGAAAAAUCGAAAGAAAGUACGGGAAGAUGUUUGCAGAUGACGCAAGGAGCGUAUGGUUUGGUCUAAGCGCGGAUGGCAUUAAUCCUUUUGGGGAGCAGAGCAGCAAUCAUAGCACCUGGCCUGUGACUCUAUGUUUGUAUAACCUUCCUCCUUGAUUGUGCAUGAAGCGGAAGUUCAUUAUGAUGCCAGUGCUCAUCCAAGGUCCUAAGCAACCCGGCAACGACAUUGAUGUGUACCUAAGGCCAUUAGUUGAAGAACUCUUACAACUGUGGAAUGGAACAGGUGUACGUGCGUGGGAUGAGCACAUGGGGAAGAAUUUGACCUAAAGGCGUUGCUGUUCGUGACCAUCAAUGAUUGGCCUGCUCUCAGUAACCUUUCAGGACAGACAAACAAGGGAUACCGCGCAUGCACGCACUGUUUGGACGAUACCGACAGUAUAUAUUUGGCUAAUUGUAAGAAGAAUGUGUACCUGGGACAUCGUCGAUUUCUUCCGAGCAAGCAUCCCGUAAGAAAGAAAGGCAAGCAUUUCAAAGUUGAGGCGGAUCAACGGACGAAGCCUCGCCACCGUACUAGUGCUGAUGUACAUGAUAUGGUCAAGGAUUUGAAGGUGGUCUUUGGAAAGGGUCCUGGUGGACAACCUGUUCCGAAUGACGCUGACGGACGCGCACCCAUGUGGAAGAAGAAAUCUAUAUUUUGGGACCUGCCCUAUUGUAAAGACCUAGAGGUCCGCUCCGCAGUCGACGUGAUGCACGUGACGAAGAAUCUUUGUGUGACCCUGCUUGGCUUCUUGGGCGUGUAUGGGAAGACAAAAGAUACACCUGAGGCACGAGAGGACCAGCAACGUAUGCACGGAAAAGACGGCAUACAUCGGGGUCAUGCAAGCUACGCUCUUACCAAAGAAGAGAAGGAAAUCUUCUUUGAAUGCCUGCUCAGUAUUAAGGUACCAUCUGGCUUCUCGUCGAAUAUAAAGGGAAUAAUAAAUAUGGCAGAGAAAAAAUUUCAGAACCUAAAGUCUCAUGACUGCCACGUGAUUAUGAUGCAACUGCUUCUGGUUGCAUUGAGGGGGCUUCUACCGGAAAACGUUCGAUUAGCCAUUGUGAAGCUAUGUGCAUUUCUCAAUGCAAUCUCUCAGAAGGUAAUCGAUCCAGAAAUCAUACCAAGGUUAGAGAAUGAUUUGGUGCAAUGUCUUGUCAGUUUCGAGUUGGUGUUCCCAUCAUCCUUCUUCAACAUCAUGACGCACGUCCUAGUUCACCUAUGCGAAGAGAUUAACGUUUUGGGUCCUGUAUUUCUACAUAAUAUGUUCCCCUUUGAGAGGUUCAUGGGAGUCUUAAAGAAAUAUGUUCAUAACCGUGCUAGGCCAGAAGGAAGCAUCUCCAAGGGCCGUCAAAAUGAGGAUGUCAUUGAGUUUUGUAUUGACUUUAUUCCUGACCUUAAGCCGAUUGGUGUUCCUGAAUCGACGCAUAAGGGCAGACUGGAUGGAAAAGGCACGCUAGGAGGGGAACAAAUAAUAUGUAUGGACAGACAUUCUCUCACUGAAGCACACUACACAGUUCUACAGAAUUUCGCCUUGGUGGCUCCUUAUAUGGAUGAACACAAGAAUUUGCUACGCUCCAAACACCCGGAGCGGUCUGAUGACUGGAUUACACAUGAACAAACCAGGAGUUUCGCCAGCUGGUUGCAGACACGUACCAUGCAUGACACCUCUAUUGAAGAUGACCUGUACUUGCUAUCCCAGUUACCAUCUUCGAAUAUAAUGACUUUCAAAGGGUACGAGAUAAAUGGUAAUACAUUUUACACGAUUGCCCAAGAUAAGAAGAGCACCAACCAAAACAGUGGUGUCCGCUUUGAUGCAGAAACCAAGACGGGAAAGGAAACAUAUUAUGGUUAUAUACAGGACAUAUGGGAACUUGACUAUCGACGUGGUUUGAAGGUCCCUUUGUUUCGGUGCAAAUGGGUCAAUAUGACACGAGGCGGGGUAACGGAACACCCGCAGUAUGGAAUGACAACAGUGGAUCUCAACAAUCUUGCGUAUGCAGACGAACCAUUCGUCCUAGCCAAUGAUGUGGCACAGGUUUUCUAUGUGAAGGACAUGUCUACCAAGCCAAAAAAAAAGAAAAGAUAAGGAAGCGAAUGCAUCGUACGAUGAGCCCAAGCGGCACAUAGUUUUUUCUAGGAAGAGAAACAUCGUGGGAGUGGAUGACAAGACAGACAAGUCAGAAGAUUAUGAAAAGUUUGAUGAAAUUGCUCCAUUCACAGUGAAUAUUGACCCGAGCAUCCCGUUAAAUGAUGAAGAUUUUCCAUGGUUACGACGCAAAGGGACACACGCGAAGAAAAAGUUUCACACCCAAAGAUCUGGGAUGUGAUCGGCUUCACUAUCAUCACUUUCUUCUGUGUUUCACACCCAGAAGGGAAUCUCUGUAAUAGUUAGGGUAGUUAAUUAUGUGUUUUGGCAUUUGAAACGCGAAAAAAAUUUAUGUGCAAACAAAUUAUUUCAUGCCUUUACUGAUUUUUAAAGUUAAGUUAUUUACAAACUAGUGAUUCACACUAAUUUCAAAUAAUUCAAAAUUUAAACUAUUCAAAUUUGAAAACUACGGGCACUAACAGAAAGUUUGUAAUUUUUUGUACCUAAAGCAAAAAUAUUCACAAAGAAACUCUAAAUACACAAAAAACAACUCAAAAAUAAAUAAAGCAAAGAAAAAUAAAAAAGCCCGCCUGCUAGGCCAAAGCGGCCGGCAUACGACUAGAAACUCAACCUGUUGUUGGGCCAGAAUGCAGGCCCGCAAAGGCCCAGUAGGCCUACAGGGCAGCACAGAACAUGUAGGCCCAGUAGGCCUGCUUUGGAGAGGAGCUCGAGAGAGCUACCGCACGGGGGUUUAUAAACUAGUGCGGUCGCCCCUCGGCUAGCGAGGUGGGACUAAACUUGCCGCACCGCACCUGCACCAGUGCACCCCCUUUAGUACCGGGUCGUGCCACCAACCGGUACUAAAGGGGGGGGGGGCUUUAGUACCGGUUGGAGCCACCACCCGGUACUAAAGGGGGUCGCUUCCCGCCGCUUGGCCUGGCCAAAACAGGCCUUUAGUACCGGUUGGUGGCUCCAACCGGUACUAAAGGCCCCUCCUAUAUAAACAACACUUACGAAAAUUUCAGUUUCUCAUCUACUUCUUCUCCUUUGCACCGUCGCCCGCCGCGCCCCCUGUACGUCUCCAUCCCUCGUCGCCGNNNNNNNNNNNNNNNNNNNNNNNNNNNNNNNNNNNNNNNNNNNNNNNNNNNNNNNNNNNNNNNNNNNNNNNNNNNNNNNNNNNNNNNNNNNNNNNNNNNNNNNNNNNNNNNNNNNNNNNNNNNNNNNNNNNNNNNNNNNNNNNNNNNNNNNNNNNNNNNNNNNNNNNNNNNNNNNNNNNNNNNNNNNNNNNNNNNNNNNNNNNNNNNNNNNNNNNNNNNNNNNNNNNNNNNNNNNNNNNNNNNNNNNNNNNNNNNNNNNNNNNNNNNNNNNNNNNNNNNNNNNNNNNNNNNNNNNNNNNNNNNNNNNNNNNNNNNNNNNNNNNNNNNNNNNNNNNNNNNNNNNNNNNNNNNNNNNNNNNNNNNNNNNNNNNNNNNNNNNNNNNNNNNNNNNNNNNNNNNNNNNNNNNNNNNNNNNNNNNNNNNNNNNNNNNNNNNNNNNNNNNNNNNNNNNNNNNNNNNNNNNNNNNNNNNNNNNNNNNNNNNNNNNNNNNNNNNNNNNNNNNNNNNNNNNNNNNNNNNNNNNNNNNNNNNNNNNNNNNNNNNNNNNNNNNNNNNNNNNNNNNNNNNNNNNNNNNNNNNNNNNNNNNNNNNNNNNNNNNNNNNNNNNNNNNNNNNNNNNNNNNNNNNNNNNNNNNNNNNNNNNNNNNNNNNNNNNNNNNNNNNNNNNNNGGUGAGCGCGCACACACACACACACUUGUUAGAAAUUUUUCUGUUUUUUAGAAAUUGUUAGAAAUUUUUCUGUUUUUUAGAAAUGGUUAGAAAUGUUAGAAUUGUUAGAAUAGCUAGAAAUGUUAGAAUUGUUAGAAUAGUCAAAAAUGUUAGAAAUUUUUCUGUUUUUUAGUUAUAGAAAUAGUUAUAAAAAAGUUAGAAUUGUUAGAAAUUUUUCUGUUUUUUAGAAAUUGUUAGAAAUUUUUCUGUUUUUAGAAAUAGUUAGAAAUGUUAGAAUUGUUAGAAUAGUUAGAAAUGUUAGAAUUGUUAGAAAUUUUUCUGUUUUUAGUUAUAGAAAUAGUUAUAAAAAAGUUAGAAUUGUUAGAAAUUUUUCUUUUUUUAAGUUAUAGAAAUAGUUAUAAAAAAGUUAGAAAUUUUUCUUUUUUUAGUUCUAGAAAUAUUAGAAAUGUUAUAGAAAUGUUACUUUUUGCGGGCAUAUAGCUAGUAUUUGUUCUCGACGAUGCCCGGCCCGCAUCCUCGCCGUUGACCCGUCCGCGACGACGUCCGACUGACCCAUGUCCAGGACUGGGCUCCGCCGGGUUGGCACUUGGAGGUGCUGCCUGGAGGGGCGCGCCGCUUGAUGAGGAACCCGGCCCCGGGUCCCGUCGUCGACCCUGAUCUCAUUUGGUGGUGUUCGCGUGGGCUAGUUUCGGUGUGGAGGGAGCCGGCCCCGCCGGAGGUGGUACGUCGCCGUGUCAGGGAGGAGGACGAGCACGUCCAUCGCUACAUGGUUGCAUUAGAGGGCGGCAGGUUCUCCAAUACCUGGCAGUUUCUUCAGGGAUCUCACUUCAGCUACCCUGUGAGGGUUCCUUCUCUUUGGGUGUCCACCGCCCGCGCCGCAGGAACCGCGAGUGUCCUAGAUUCUUCUGUAGUAUUCGAUCUUUAUUAGCUACCUAGCCAGUGAUGUACUCGAUAUAUAAUAUUCAAGAUGAUGUAUUCGAGAUUAUAUAUUAUUCGAGACGAUGUAUUCGAGAUUAUAUCUAUUAUUCGAGACGAUGUAUUCGAGAUUAUAUCUAUUAUUCGAGACGAUGUAUUCGAGACUAUAUCUAUUAUUCGAGACGAUGUAUUCGAGAUUAUAUCUAUUAUUCGAGACGAUGUAUUCGAGAUUAUAUAUAUUAUUCAAGACGAUGUAUUCGAGAUUAUAUCUAUUAUUCGAGACGAUGUAUUCGAGAUUAUAUCUAUUAUUCGAGACGAUGUAAUUUGAAUACUAAAUUGUUUUAUAUUUCUUUUGACAUAGUUAAAUAAAAGCUAUGGCGGACAAUACCAACAGAGAGGGAGAACAGACCAUGUUCGAUAUAAUACGCGGGCCAGAUGAUGAUCAGAAUGAAGAAGAUUAUGACGGCUCCGAAUUUCUAAACAACACCGGAGAGGGUGAUAUGAUAUUCGAUCGCGACGACCGAGUUGAUGAAGUCAUGAACUACGAUUAUGACAACACCGGAGAGGUAUAUAUAUUUAUAUAAGCAGGCAUCUGGUGAUCAUCACAUGUUUUAAAUGAGUUGAAGAUAUAUUAACGAAUCGAUCUUUCUUCUUUCAGCCAUCCGGAUCGAGCAAAUCUUCAGGCAAAAGGACGAAACAAGGCCCGAACAAAAAGUUGAAGGAGGGCGUAAAGUAUAAUAUCGAGGCAAUCAAACGUAAUGGCGAACCAUUAGCGCCUAAGAAGAUUGCGGACAAGUUCGUUCGUCAGUGCGCAGUUCUUGUGAAGGACCAACUCCCGAUCUCCCUUCAAGAAUGGAGAAAGCCAGCAAAGCCACGUCCAGAUCUUACUUUUGUCGACGACAGACAAAAAUGUCUGCUUUGGGAUACUCUCAUGGAACAUUUCACCCUACCAGAUCAUUUCACAGAAGCAGAUGUGCAGAAAGUCAAGGACGCUGCUCUUAGGAAGAUGGCGGUUGCAUUCAAGAACCACAAGAAUCGUGAAUGGGACAAGUACGUCAAGGGAGGAAGGAAGACUCCAGUAUUCAAGGGAACACUAGAGAAUCAAAGUGCUCAUUGGGACGAUUUCGUGAAAUUCAAGGAUUCAGAAUUAUCUAAGGAACGGUCAAGAAUAAACAAGGCCAAUGCCGCAAAAAAGGAUAAGUUCCAUAAACUGGGGCCAGGUGGCUAUGCGGUGGGAAUGCCUAAGUGGGAUAAGUCUGAGAAAGAGAUGCUGGAUGCAAGUGUCACUCUAGAAACAUUGAGCUGGUCCCCCAGGUGCAGGACUUGGUUCUAUGCGCAUGGGGGGAGUUGGAAUCGAAGACAGGCAAAGUUUCCAAGAAGGCAUGUCUGGACAGAGCCGAAGAUAAGCUAAUUGUUGCAAUAGAAGAGGCUCGGUCCGGGUUGUUCGAGCCCAACAGAGAGAACGACGAGCUUACGCGUGCCCUGGGAAAUCCUGAACACCCGGGAAGAACACGAGGCAUGGGCGCUAUCCCGUGGUAUGAGGGGUUUUCGGACUGGAACGCCGACUACAGAACCCGUGCGAGAAAGAAGAUUGCGAAGGAUAAGAGGAAGAUGGAGGAGGAGCAGAGGAAGCUCGACUAUGAACGCCUUCAAGGCCUAGAAUCAGCGCACGCGGACUUGGCAAUCAAAUUCCAGUGGCAGCAGGAGCAGAUCGACUCACUUAGCCAGCAAAGGGGAUCUCAGCAGCUGCAGCAGCUAGCGGAUGAUCCAACAUUGGAUACCACCGCCCCAUCCAUGCCGAGAAGCAGCGUGGGUUCCGCCCCGUUUGACGCAAUGCUGGAUAGAUACCCCAUGGAUGAUAUCAUGGAGAACACUAACUGCGAGAUACACUUCAAAAUUAAGAACAUAUCCUUGAAGGUGGCGGACGGUGUUGCUUAUACAAAUUCCCCCGAUGCAACCUUCCAUUGCAACCCGAUUCCAGCAGGCUAUGCUUGUGUCGUGGUUGAUGAGGUGGUGGACCAAUAUUCGGGGCUAGAGCUUGACAUUCCUGGAGGUGACGAGGAGCACACACUCGGAGAUGCCAAACAUCGUAUCAUCCUAUGGAGAAAGGAUUGCAUCAUCUUUCGAAGGCCACCAACAUCGCGUCACCCGACUCCUCGUCGAAGUCCGCCACCGAGUCAGCAGACUCCCGCUCCUCCAAGUCCACCAACGCGUGAGGCCACUCCUCCUCCUCCAAGUCCGGCAAAGUGUCAGGCCACUCCUCCUCCAAGUUCGACACAGCGUCAGACGUCCACUCCUCCUCCAAGUCCGGCACAACCUCAGGCCACUGCAAGUCCGGCACAGCUUCAGGCCACUCCUCCUCGUCCAACUCAGCCCCGUCAGCCGUCUCUGCCGCCUCAGCAAUCGCAGAAGAGACACCCCGCAGCUAUGGUGCGUAGCGGUACGAGUCGAGGUCAUAGUACAGGAAGUACAGGCGGAGGCAAGCGAUAUAAAUAUGGUCCAAACCUCACUACUCCUCUUCCUGUGAGGGCUUACGACAUGACCGAGGAGCAAACCAAUGCCAUAGUGCGGGCAGAACUCGACGCCCAUUUUGGACCGAAACCGCCACCGCCGCCAAGGGAGAAAGUGCCUGUGGAAGUAGUUGACCACUUCAUUCGUAUGGCUCAACCACCAGCUCCUAAGCCUGUUGACACAGACUAUGAGCGCCACAUCAGGAAGUUACAUCGACAACAUCUACAGAAGGAGGCGAGCUCGAGCUCGAGCAAAUAACAAGCAGCUGUCAAAAAAUGCGGGAAAACCGUUGCCCAGCUGGGAGAACAGGUGGCAAAUCGAUCCCCCCGCUUGUUGUGCCGCCAACAACACGUGACAGUACGCGCGCCCAAUAUUAUUGUGGCCAAACAGUUUACGUUUCCGAGGUGGGCGGUGUGGUAAUAACCUAGGAGCAUAUAAUGCAGGCUGAAACUCUCAAAAUCACUGUUGGACAACUCCUCGAGAUCGAGGACAUGCCUGUGCUUAAAGAGGAGGAAAUAAAACGGAAAUAUGCCCGGGGCCAACCUUUGGUCAAGCCAGAAGAGGUCAAGAAGCUCCCAACGAGAAUGUAUGAAUUACAUGAAUGGUACAUGAACAUUACCAAGAGAUCCGAUCGAGAGUCCCUCAUGGUGCAAGUCAAGAAGGAUCAUUACUACCAUGAGAAACCUGUGACCGUUGAGUAUUCUGAACUGUUUCAGUUAUACAAUCAAGACGCACUCGACAAAUCUAUCAUCAGUUGCUAUUGUCUGUAAGUGAUUUCUUUUUGUAAUUUAAGUCUCAAGCUAGCUGUAGUGAUCCUUUUGAUCAAUCAUUAUCUGUAAUUAUCCUCACUAUAUUCUUUUCUGUGGUAUUAUGCAGGAUGAAGAUGUAUGAAAUGAGAAAAGGUGGACGCUAUGGCAUUGGGUUCAUUGACCCAAACACCGUUAAUGAAUACACAUGGAAAAUAAACAAGCAUUAUGAAAAGCAGGUAGAGGACAGCAUGCUAGAGUUCUUGAAGCGCCUCAAAUACAAUGAAGAUAUACUACUUCCUUACAACUUCUAGUGAGUCACACUUUCUUGUACUACAAAUUCUCUGUUUUUGCCUACUAGCUAGCUACAUGUUUUUGCUUACAUAUGCCCGCUUAAUUAAGACAUGCAAACGUGUGUGCAUGCAGAUUUCACUCGAUCUUGUGUAUCAUUAAAGUUGACGCCGGAACAGUUGAAAUACUGAACUCGCUACUCAAAGCAAAUAGUGACUAUAACAUCUUGUUUGGGAUAGUCAACAGGUAAUUUCAAUCAUUAUUAACUAUAUAUCUCGGCCUAUUUAGUUCGUCAUUUCAUGAUAUGAACUAUUUAAUAACCCCUUUAUUCAUUUUCUUUGUCGGCGGGCAGGGCUUGGGCAAGGUUCAUCAGCGUCACGGAAGGCGAAUGGAAACGACAGCUGAAAUGGUUUCGACCCAAGGUAAGUAAUUAAGUAGUACUAGUUAGCUAGCUAGCUGCCAUUUCUUUAAUUAUCAUGCUUGAUUAAUUAUUAUCUGAUCAAAUUAAAUUCCAUUCUCGUAAUAAAGGCCCUGAAGCAGGCGCAGGGGACUGAUUUGUGUGCAUUCUGCGUUUGCGAGAACAUUCGCAUGAUGGCGUCCGAAAGGAGCAGAUCUCAAAGACAGGAAUGGGUACGCUUGUCAGAACACUAUUCACAAUUUUUACACCAUUAUCGAUAUCUAGUCACACAACUAAUACACAUGCAUAUUGAUCUCCUUCUUAACAGUUCAAAGAGGUGCAGGACAAUCUCCUAGAAACGGAGCGCGUAGAAGCACUUCAAAAGGAAAUAGCGGGAUUUUUGCUCGACCAUGUCAUAAAUCCAAAAGGAGAAUACUAUUACCCGCUACCGCCUCCAUCGAUCAGGUCAUGAACCACUUCCAAUUGUCAUCGUGCUCCGAAGGCACCAAUUAGGCUAAUGCCACUGGCUCCGAAGGCAACAUGCAUAUGUAGGAGAAAUUGUAUAUAGCUAUACAUGUGUGUAUGUGUGAAUUAAUAUGGUGGUUUGUGAGACAUUGAUAAUAUAUAUAUGAUUGGUUCUACUAGAAAUUCUAUUUAUAUAUAUAUAUAUAUGCAUAACGUGUACAAUGUGUAGUACCGUAAAAUACCAGCAAACGAAAAAGAAUUAAAAUGGAAAACACAAAAUUAAAUGAAAAAGAAAUCAUAAAACCAAAAAAACCCCAAACAUUUUAGUACCGGUUGGUGUUACCAACCGAUACUAAAGGGCUCCCGGCCCCCGAAGUUGGCUCGUGCCACGUGGUUGCCCUUUAGCACCGGUUCAUGCUGAACCGGUACUAAAGGGGGGGCCUUUAGUGACCACACUUUAGUGCUGGUUAUGGAACCGACACUAAAGGGCCUUACGAACCGGUGCUAUUGCCCGGUUCUGCACUAAUCCACGUUCCACAUGCACAUGAAAAAGGGCAGCAACGCCAUGGUCAUUGGCGUUUCUAUGAUGGGCUGCAACGCCAGCGCCUUCGGUGUUUCUUAUCUGGUCCGCAAUGCUAGCUACCUCGACGUUUUUUCUUUGUUCAGAAACGCUAGCUAUCUCGGCGUUUCUAUGUUGGACAGAAACGACGCGGGCUGUGGCGUUGCUAAAAGGGUCAGAUCGUGAAAUACUUUCACAUCGAGUUCAUUUUGUGACAAAGUUCGUUCAAAGGGUCAGAAUAGUGAUUUCGUCCGAUCGACUCGGUGUCGGUGGUCCGUCGCCGCGAUGGACUCCUGGACCAGGCUUCAGCUGGGCCAGGCCCACGAUCUAAAUUUUCUGUAAAGUUAAUGUUAAUAGGGAAUCCUCAAAAAGAAAGUUAAUGUCGAUAGGGGAUUAUCAGCAGCUAGGCCAUCAGUUAUACAUUAUGAAAAAAAAUUGUCUAAAAAACGCAGUUAGGGCAUUUACAGCUGGACUUCACAGAUUUUAAACCGCUAGUAACUAUCAUCAAUGAAGAGAUGUGUAGAUUGGAAGAAUCCAACCAAUAGACACACAAAGACACACAAACAACGACCGGAUUCAAGUAGAUCCAUCAAAGACAAACACCAACCGAAUCAGAAGAGAUCCACCGAAGACACACCUUCACACGACCUCCGACGACAUUAGGCACAUUGCCAGAACCGAUGCUAGAUAAAAGGCCUUAGAGCAUCUACAGCUGGGCGCCUCGUACCGGUCUCAAACGUCCGGACGGCCCGCUCGGUCACUGGCCGGUCUCGUUUUCCUGACCCAGUCGGGCGCCUCAAAUGCCUAGGCUGUCCGGCACCCCUCAUAUCCAGCCCAAAUAUGGGGCGGAUAUGGGGGCGCCCGGGCACGCCCGCCACGUCACCCCGGCCCACCCCUACCCCACUCUGUCCCCACAAAUAUCCCCAAUCCGGAAACCCUAACUCACUCCACUCUUGAUUUGUCUCCUCUUCUUCCCUCCGAUUUCUACGAUUCGAUCCACUCCAACCACUCCGGUGACUGCGGCCACCAUGUCGAGCGUCGGCAGCCGCUCGUCCUCCGACUUUGACGAGGAUCUAGCCCUCCGCAUUGCCCUCGAGAGGUCCAAGGUGGAAACGGGUGGUAGUUUUGGAUCGGCCUCGCCUUUCCCCCGUCGACGCUGGCUCCUCCUGGCCCACGCUUGGCUCCACACGGGUUGCGCAGUCCGCGCCUCCCCACGUCGUCCCCUUGCCCCACCGCCUGUUGUUCCCCCACGCGGGCAGCAGUGGGUGCUUGUGCCCACCACCAUGGCGGCGGCCCGAACAUGCAUGACAGAGUCAGAGGCGCGAGCCGCCCGCCGCGAGAGGCAGUGGGCAAGGGAGAAGGACGCGGCAGAGAGCUCUGUCCGCCGCCGCCACGGGUUACCCGCGGAGCCCGACGAGGACGAGCGGCUUCUCGCGUGGGUCUGCCGCUAGUCGCUUAUGACGGCGGAGACAGACGCUCAGCGGCUCCGCCGGAAGAAUGCGAAGGCUCUCGGGCUAGCUAUCGAGCACUCUGAACGUGAGGCCAAGGAGAACGUGAUGGAGGCGGCUCGGCUGGCCAAGCUGAAGCGACAGCAGGACCGGGCCGUCCGACGCCUCAAGGGCCUCAUCAUCGUCUCCUCCUCUUCCGACGGCUACAACUGCCCUGACGACAGGAAGGGGAAGGGGCCGGCCCGGAAGUGGUGAAGAUCCGCUUUGCUUCAAUUUAGUUUUGAGUUUUAGAUGUAGUCUCAAGUUGUCCGUCGUUUGAACUUUGGUGGUCGUUUGAGCAUAUGAUCUUCUGGUGAAAGUAUUGUGCUUGCAUGUGUCCAUUUGUUGAUCUACGUAUUUUGAUCGACAUUACAUGGUUUAGUAUGAAUAUAGAGGAUCGGAUAUGAGAUACACGGAUGUGGACGAGGCUAUUAGAGAAGUUCCCGGUCACUGCCCACAGACGCGUCCGGGCGUGUCCGCGGGCGUUUAAGGGGUCAUAUUUGUCCUCUGCAGCUAAGCAUCUACAAAGAGCAUCUACAACCGGCAUCGUCAAAUCCUCCUCAAACAUGGACGUUCCCGGUCAGUGAUCGGAUAGGAGAGAGAAGGAAAAAAUAACCUAACCGGACCUCUUAUAUCAUCCCUGUAUGUCUGGGCUGUCCUCGAACCCUCGUAUUAAAGACAAAUGUAGGGUGAAUACGAGGACUCACGGACGCGCCCGGUCAGUCUGCCACGUAAGACGCGGCCCACCCUGAACCACUUUUUCUCUUUUCUUUAUUCAUUCUUUUCUUUCUCUCUGUUCAUCUCCAUUAAUCAUGUGCAAGUGAUCGGACAUAUAAGAAAGAAAAUGAGGAGUGUGGAUGUAUGAACGGACAAAUAAGGGUUCAAAAUGAACACGCCUGGUCACUGACCCUGCGUGUCUUCGGACGUUUAUGGGGUCAUAUUUGCUGAGUCCGACUGUAGAUGCUCUUUCGGAGAAGAGUUGUAUAGGAUCUGCAUUAGAUGAGAUCAAUAAGAUCUUUUUUUAAGAUACAAGACAAGUUCAAAAAUUAUGAAGAAAAUUGAAGACACUCAUCCAAUCUUUGAUGUACAAACUUAAAAAGUUUCAGCUCCUAAUUCAAACUACACUUAGACAAUUAAAAAAAUCGGAUAUGAAUACUAUCAAAAUCAGUGGAAGGCAGGCGUCCUCGCGUGCUGCGCCACUUACACAUCAUGGAGAACGGCGUUUUGGCUCUCGGAAGCGCGCGCUCCCAUGUGAAUAGUAAACAAAAAAUAUAAUAAAUGUUUUUAAAAAAAUCUUUUUUAGAUGUUCGUGUUAGUGCCACAAGCAUCCUUAAAAAGAUUUCAUGGGAAACAGCAGCGGUGUUUCACUGGUGAAAAAACAAAUUUAGGAUGAUAUUUUGGAGUAACAUUUGCUGUUUAUCUUUUUCACAGGCUUAAAUGUUUAAUCUUUUUGCCUACAAAUUUGGAUGUAGCAUUGGAUGUGACAGUACACAUGGGAUUUUUGUUGAAAUUUUUUUGGCAUUUCAAAAAAUAUCCAACGGAUUUCCGGUUGUGAUAUCAUUUGUUUUUCCAACUUGCUGAUUGGGGUCAAUUUGUACCCCAUCCUCGUCUCUUUGAGCUGACCCAGAUAGUAACCUUCACACUGACAGGUGGGUCCCACCCGAUUUAACCAGAGAUAAAAAAGAGAGGAGAAACCCCAACCUUAUCUCGUAAUCGCUCCGCUUUCCCGCGUCCGUCCACCGCGCCGAUGCCUUCUGCUCCUCCUCCUCCUCCUCACACUCCACUCGCCGCCCCGACCGCCGCCGUCUCCGUCACCUGCUCCUACCGGGAGGACGAUGACGGCGCCGCCUCGUGGUCGCUCUCCUCCGGCGCGCCCUCCUCCUCCUCGCCGUCGUCGUCGCGGGGGCGCCGCCCGCCGCCUUACCGGCGGCUCCUCCACGACGAGGCGCGGCGCCUCCGCCAGGAGCGCCGCGGCCAGGGCGCCGGCGCCGGAACGCCCCGGUGGGUGCGCCGCACCGAGGGCCAGAUGGCCCGGUACGUCGAGGACGACCGCGCCGGCCACGUCCACGGCCGCCACGUCGUCGCCGCGGCACGCGCCGCACGCGCCACCGCGUCCCGCCCGCCCGCCGGCGGGUCCGCCAUGCGAGAGGCCAUGGCCUCCUUCGUCGCCAAGCUCACCUUCCGCGAGAUGUGCGUCGUCCUCCGCGAGCAGCGCGGGUGGCGCCAGGCCCACGAUUUCUUCUCGUGGAUGAAGCUCCAGGUACAGAACAAGAUUCCCCCACACAAUCGCAGCAUCCGAACCAUUUUUUUUCUUCAAAUUUUCCGUGAUUUAAUCCGCCCCGAUGCGAUGUUGAGCUGAAUCCUCAGCAAUUUUGCUCCGUUUUGAGCUGAAAAUUCUGAGCGCUAGUUGAACAAUUCUGAUUCAUGCGUGUAUAAUCAACCAAUGGAUCAUUGCUGUUCAUCUUGGUUCUUUUUUAUUCUCAGACUUUGAUUUUUUGGAAAAAUCUCGGUCAUUUUUCGUUCAAAAUUCAUCACUCGUUUUUCAUUCAAGAAUUCAAAUUUUGGAUGGUGCUUUUCGAAAAGCUCGUCAAUUUCGUUAAGGGGCGUGUAUAUAUUUCACAAAACGAAAUCCAAAACCUUGGUCCGCACCUAUUUUUCUUGCAGCUGUGCUACGAGCCCAGCGUGGUCGCCUACACCAUCCUCCUCAGGGCGUAUGGCAACGCCGGCAAGAUCGAGCUCGCCGAGGAGGCGUUCCUGGAGAUGCUCGAGGCCGGCGUGGAGCCGGACGCGGUGGCGUGCGGCACCCUGCUGUGCGCGUACGCGCGCCGGGGGAGGCACGGCGACAUGAUGCUCUUCUACGCCGCGACGCGCAGGCGCGGUGUGGCGCCGCCCGUCUCCGCCUUCAACUUCAUGCUCUCCUCCCUGCAGAAGCACAGGCUCCACGGCAAGGUGAUCCAACUCUGGAAACACAUGAUGGAAAUGGAAGAAGCCAACAAUGUGGUGCCAAAUCACUUCACAUACACAGUUGUGAUCGGUUCAUUUGUCAAGGAGGGUCUCCUGGAGGAGGCCAUGGAUGUCAUGGGGAAGAUGAGGGCCUCCCGACUCAUCCCGGAGGAGGCGACGUACAGUUGCCUGAUCAGCUUGAGUUCCAGGCAUGGCAGAGGGGAGCAGGUUGUGAUGCUCUAUGAGGAGAUGAGGGCUCAUGGCAUUGUCCCCAGCAACUACACAUGUGCAUCCCUCCUGGCACUCUAUGACAAGAGUGAGGACUACUCGAAGGCGCUCUCGCUCUUCUCGGAGAUGGAGCGAAGCAGGGUUGUCAUUGAUGAGGUCAUCUAUGGGAUCCUCAUUAGGAUCUAUGGUAAGAUCGGGCUCUACGACGAUGCGCAGCGCACUUUUGAGGAAAUUGACAGUGCGGGUCUUCUGAGUGAUGAACAGACUUAUGUGGCAAUGGCUCAAGUUCACAUGAAUGCUCGCAACUAUGAUAAGGCAUUGCAGGUUUUCGGUUUGAUGAGAUCGAGGAAUGUGAAGCCUUCAUCGUUCUCUUACGGCGCUCUUCUUCGAUGCCAUGUCGCGAGGGAAGACAUAGCUGCAGCUGAAGAUGUCUUCAGAGCUCUGUGCAAAUAUGGUCUCCCUGAUGUGUUCUGCUGCAAUGACCUACUGAGAUUAUAUGUCAAGCUGGGCCAGCUAGAGAAGGCAAGUGCAUUCAUUCUGAAGAUGAGAAAAGAAGAUAUCCAGCUUGAUGAGGCCCUCUGCAUGACUGUAAUGGAAGUUUGCUGCAAAAGCGGGAUGAUCGCCGAUGCGGAUAAGAUACUGAAAGAGAUGAACAAUGGUGGAGUGACCAUGAAGAGUUCAACAAUGGUUUCUAUGAUAGAGAUGUAUGCUAGAAACAGAACCAGUGUGAUGCAGGAACAAGAUAGUUCGUCGAAGGCACUAGCCUGUCAGACCGACAGUUCGGCACUGAACGCGGCGUUGAAGUCAUUGUUGGACACACCUGGGGGUUCGUCCAUCGCAUGCCAAUUGAUCAGAAAAUUGGCUAGGGAAGGUGAGGAAGCCAGGUACCACACAGAUCAUGGUGUUCAUGCCUAACCAUACUGUCAUCCACUGCUGUUUAUUUAUUUAUUUUUCUGCAGGGAGGACAUGUGAGGCAAAAUUCCUUCAUGAACAGCUGACUCAGUUGGGAGUCAAGCCUGAAGAUUCAGCAACAGCCACUCUCAUUGUCCAAUAUGGCCAGGAACAGAAGUUACAUCAAGCAGAGGAACUGUUUGAGUCAGAAUCGACAUCGUUUCCAAUAGGAGCGCCUGUCUACAAUGCCAUGGUCGAUGCAUUAUGCAAGUGCGGCAAUAUCGAGGAGGCGUAUCGUCUCUUUAUGAAAAUGGCUGAUCAAGGCCAUAGCAGAGAUGUUGUGACAAUUAGCAUACUUGUCACUCACCUGACCAAACAUGGUAAAUAUUUUUUCUAACUGCUACCAAUCCUUAUGCAGUAAGUUUGGUGAGGCGCUUCGCUUCUGUGUAUACUCACACUGCGACAUUACUCCCAGGAAAGUUUCAGGAGGUGGAGAACAUCAUACAUGGCUGCUUCCAUGGUGAAGUUGAGCUUGAUACUGUUGUGUAUAAUACAUUUAUCAAGUCGAUGCUCGAGUCAGGUCUGGAUAAACAUCUUUUCCUCUUCAUAAGGUGGGCAAGCAAAAUUUUCAGGGCAUGGGUGCCAUGGCUAACUGCUACAGCUUUAGUUUCCAAACAGGCAAACUAUACUCAGCUGUCAACAUAUAUGAUCGCAUGAUAUCCACUGGGGUUCGUCGGUCCUUGCAGACUUUCAAUAUAAUGAUAAGGUAGAUAAUCUUGAUAAAACCACAGGAAAAUGGGAGUUGGGAGUAUGCAACUGUUUUUUCUCUUUUAUGUUUGUGUUGAGACUUGAGACCACUUUGUCAUUAGCUUCAGUUUUCUUGUUCAGUGUUUAUGGCCUAGGAGGAAAGCUGGACAAGGCUGCUGAAAUGUUUGCUGCUGCACAAGAGCUAGGCUUGCUGAUCGACGAGAAGAUAUACACUAACAUGCUUAACUUCUAUGGAAAGGCUGGUUAGUCCCUUCUACCUUGCGUAUAGGAAUCAAAGAAGAUUUCCCUUUUCAUGUUCGACGAGUUUUUCGCACUCUCGUUCGUACUAUUCAGUGCAAUUUCUUCAGGGAGACAUCAGGAGGCGUCUUCACUAUUCGAUAGAAUGAAGGAACUUGGUAUCAUGCCUGGAAAGGUAUGCUUCCGUUGGUGUCUGACUUCUGAAACUACAGUUAUCUGCAUUGAGAUUGACUACUGUGACUGAAACUUGCAAUCAAUGUGCAGAUCAGUUUCAACUCCAUGAUCAAUGCCUAUGCCACUUCCAGGCUGCAUGAUGAAGCAGAGAUUGUUUUCCAGGAGAUGCAAUCACACGGUCAAGUUCCCGACUCGACGACGUACCUUGCAUUGAUCAGAUCAUACUCAGAAAGUAGAUGCUACUCCAAAGCUGAGAAAGCCAUCCAGAUGAUGUUGAGCAGCGGCAUAACCCCUUCAUGCCCUCAUUUUAGCCACCUCAUUAUUGCCUUUCUGAAGGCAGACCAGAUUGAUGAAGCCCAGAGGAUCUGCGGCCAGAUGCAGGAGAUUGGUGUGGCUGUUGAUUUAGCAUGUUGCCGGGCAAUGAUGAGGGCGUACCUUGAGCACGGUCGCGUCGACGAGGGCAUAUCGCUCUUCGAGACAACACGCGGGUCACUGAAACCUGACAGCUUCAUCCUGAGUGCUGCAUUUCAUCUCUAUGAGCAUUCAGGCAGCGAGCCUGAAGCUGGGGAUGUGCUGGAAGCCAUCGGUCUACAUGGUGCCUCUUUUUUGAGAAGUUUAAAGGUUGGAUCAAAGUUGGAACCAACUUAAUAACGACCAUAUCAUGUGCCCAUCAAGCCAGCAACCAUCACAGGUAUCUUCCUCUUGCAUGUAUGUUCUUCCACAAAUUUAUUUCCUACUGAUUUGUGUUACUAGAUCCAGAUGAGCCCAUUGUUGUGUAUGUUGUUCUAGAUGAUAUUGUACUAGUUCAUAUGUACAUUAGGACAAGUUUUAUACCAAGAUGUUGUAAAAUGUACAUUUCAGAAAAAUAUUUCAGAAACAGUGAUAUAUAACUUCUCCAAAAUGUAUAACUUAAUGUUGUACUGAUCUGUUUGAUCAACUCACAGCAUUUAACAUGUUACAAAGAAUGAAGACUUAACAGUUCGCCGUCUGAAGCUUGAAGGUGUAUUUUCAACAGCAAAGGAGGUCUGUUACUCUGCUUCCACUUAAAAAUCCCAUAUACAGGGUGAAUGGUUAGUCUAGUAAUGAGAUUGUAAAAUUGAAAAAUAAUAAACAGUUGACCAGGGUUCUUCCAAGUUCAAUCUGCAAGUAUGGAGAUAUAACUUUUUUGGUAUUACCCAUUAAAGAAUUGCCUGCUAUUGUGCCAUUUACCUCUGCAAGUGGCCGAUUUGUCUCAACUUUCCUAGUCAGAUACAUACAGUUAGGAAGAUUCUCUGAAACUUUCCGGUAAAAAAAGAUAUUCUCAGAAGUUCAAACUUCCAAAAGAAGGUGACAUCUAUUCUACUUUUAUUUUGUGUUAUAAGCACGCAAAACAAUAUGUUCCGUGUGAUUAUUAAUGUUACUCAGAGAUGGGACGAAAAUAUAGCUGUCAUAUUUCAAUGUGGGGCUUAAAAGAUGUACUUAUUUCAUAAAAAUCGCAGCAAUUGCACCUUUCUAUCUAUUUGAAUUGUCUGAGAUAGUUUACCAGUCAACGUGCCAGGAAAUUAAAGUGCUGGACUGGGUUGGGCCGUUGUUGUCAAUCUCUCAAUUUCUGAAUGUUAGUGAUUUAUAAGAAUUCUCAUACAUUGAACAUCUCUGCAGUUUAAGAAAACAAAGUUGACAAAGUUUCUGACUUGUCACAUAUGAUUCAUCCAGUGCAAUGCUAACCAGAACAGCUAGAAACUAACUCUGCCAAAGCUCUGCCACUACCAACAAGCUCCAGCCACUGUAAUAAACAUCUCCAACCUGGAAUCAUGUUUAAUCUGUUUAUUUGGGUUUAGAGCAUCUGCACAGAAAAAAUAAAAGCAUAAUGGAGGUAGAAGUAGCUCCUCAGCGCAAGAUUUCUUUGUGGGUUCAUCGCUCAGUCGGAAACCAAAUUUUCAGCCAAUUUACUACUCUCAUUGAAAUAACAGUUCAAUUACUUGGGGUUGAGGCAAACAAGCUGUCUCAAUUGCAAAUUCGAGUAUAGAGUCAUCAUGCUGAAAUUUAAAAUCUGUUGAGACCAACAUAAUUAGUUCCUACCCAAGUUACGAAAUUCGACUAUCAACAACGAAGAAGGUGGAUAGAUUCUUACAAAUCCUACAAAUGAAUCCACUCCAAACAAGAUAUUGCAGCUGUGCAUCACGGUGAUCACCAGCACCGACGACAAGAGAGCAUGCUAGGGACAACCCACAUAGGUUGCACCCUGUUGUCACGGCCCAUGAAAAUGAAGAUGUUUGGAUUGAGUUUAGAGCCAUCUCCCUGCAGCGGCUUGCCCACCUCAAGUGCAACCCAACUUUCAGCCUCAUGGCAGUAGCAGUAUAUUGGCAUAUAAGAUAAUCCAGUUUGCAUAUUCCAGUUCAACAAGAAGCAAGGAAAUUUGAAAAUCCUUAUAAGCUCUGUUUUGGGAGCUUAUCUUCCGCAGACAUCUUGCGUCUAGAGGAGCUGCAAAGCAGAUAGAUUUUUAAGCUUACAUACAAAUUGGAAGAGAAGAUGGACUGUCAAAGAUCCUUUUCCAGUAGCACAAACAAAGAGGGCCUGAAGCAAGUGAUUGUCUAAUCUCUACUUGGGAAGACUUCCAAUCUAGAAAAACCAAAGUUGAACAAAUUUAGAGUACAUAGGGGGGAAAGGGGUGGAGAUCUGAACUCCAGCUAAGCCUUCACAAACAAAUUUGGAGUAAUAUUGCAAGAUUGCUGUCUCUAAUCUUCAAACUAGAUAUAUGCACACACGAUUACAGAUAGGUACUACAUAACAAGAAAGGAAGGCGUCAUACCUCAAGCAGCCUGUGCUCAACUGCCAGAGAAGUGAGGGUCUAGCUGAAUACAGGAUCAGGCAACAGCUUUAUCUUGAAGACUCCAAGAACCUGAUGUUUAUGAAGAACUCCUGUGUUGAUCUCGGGUUUGCAGCUGUGUUUAAAUUACACUGAUCGGUUUAGGACCAGCUCAUUGAUUAAACGAAUCAACCAUUAGCUGUAGAUGAUAACUUUGUCAAGUCAAAUGAAGUAUAUGGACCAUGUGGCAUAUCGUGGAAAGCGAUCAAAACUUGAUAUGAACCCCCAAAAAUAAUGUAUAUGAGGGCGCCCCUCGAUGUAAUUGAUUAGUAUAAACUAGGCAGGAGGCCACGUACAGAUGACGCAUCACCGACGAAAACCAAAGCAGAACAAACGUAACAUAGGACCAACUAAGCGGGACGAAAUCAAGAAUAUCACCUCCCUUUAAUAGUAGGUAUAGAUAUAGAUAUACGCGAGAUGGUACUAAUUUGGGUCUGCCUCAAAAAGAUGUCCGUUCGCAUAGGAAUCGCGUGACUGGGCCGACCCAUUUGGAUUGACCUCGUGCGAGAGGUCGGGCGAACCUUUUUUUUAUAAUGGGCUUUUGGUUGGACUGAACUUUUUCUCAAACCUUGGAGUAGACAGGGUGCAGCGGCCGCUACAGUAUCAAAUAAUCCCACCCCGUAGAAACUAGGCGCCACAUAUAGAUGACGCAUCACCGACGAAAACCAAAGCAAAACAAACGUAACGUAGGACCAACUAAGCGGGACGAAACCAAGAAUAUCACCUCCCUUUAAUAGUAGGUAUAGAUAAUUCAGUAAACAUGUGACAGCGGCGUAGUUACCGCUAACCACAUCUGUGUGUGCAUACCGAAUUUGUAUGUCCUUUGGUUGCAGCUUCGCUGCCGUGCAUACGGCUCCCAAUGCAAGAAUAACCUGUAUGAUCCUAAAAUUAAAGAAAGUUGGUCUCAUACGCUUCAGGUUCCACAAGGGAAAGGAUCAAAUGUGUAAGCCAGCGCCAAAGUGAACACAAACAACUUACAACACCAAGGAAAUGUGCAAUAAGAACAUCCCAAUCAUUUUCGCGCAGUGAAGGAAGCAAGUGCUCAAUAACACCCUUGUCUACCUGAUACAUAUAUAAUAUGACUGGUAAUUCUAUGGAAAUUAAAUGGAAGGAAAAGGUAGCUCAUCGCACAGCAAGGGCAAAAUGGUACUGAACAGAUGAGAUGCCGUGUGUUGAGAUCUUUAACAUUAAAAGAAGGGUAUGGAAAUGACUUGUUGAAGUGCUCUGGAUGCCAAGUCCUUUAACAUACUGCCAUUAAUCAAAAGAAAUUCACAGAAGAGAUGGACAUAAAUACCGCAGUACACCAAAAUUGUGCAGGCAAGAUAACUUGAUAAAAGUCGUUUGAAGCUGAUGGGUGGCAUCAGAUAAUAAGCGGAGUUUUGUAAACAUAUCAAAGGUUCAGUGUUUACCAUAUAAUAUUUCACAUCAUUUGCAGGGUUUGAUAAAUUUGUAUGGGGAAAAAAGAACGACAAAUAAAGUGCUUUAUGCCAGGCAUCAGAUAAUAAGCGGAGAUUAUUAGUCCACACAUGGAAUUUUCCAUUGAGAGUGUAGGAUAUCUGAUCAACACUUGCCAGCAGGAAAGUAAAAUAAUUCUAAAUAUUUUAGAACAAUAUCUGAGAAGGGGUUCUUGGUUAGACCAUUUGACUCCAGAGCAAUAGCAAAGGCCGCAAAGGGUUGGUAAGUAAACCGUCUCACUAUCCACGCUCGCUGCGUCCCCCUCAGAUCCGGGUCCAGUAAAAAACUUGACUCCCAACUAAGAGGGAGAAUAGGAACUAACGCAAACAUGAGAAAAGGCAGAAGAAAAAAAGUAAUUGAAAAUGUAAUGUUUGAGACGAUUGGAGAAGAUAGAUAAUGUUUCUUCUCGGAUGCCAACCACAAGGCUAGCUCGGAUGAUGCAGACAUAUUUGUCCAGGAGGCCAAAACAGAGACCAGAUAGCUAAAAAAACACAAACGAAUAACAAAAUCAGAUAUGUUGUUGAUUCAGAUCCAUCUGGGUAAUAAUAUACUCCCUCCGUUUCAUAUUAGUUGUCUCUGAAAUGGAUAUAUCUAGACAUAUUUCAAUACUAGAUAGAUCCAUUUGAGCGACAACUAAUAUGGAACGGAGGGAGUAGAUAUCAUCAAUGUAUGAGUCAGGCCACUACUUUUUAACACUCAGCAACGGGAUACAUGAACGACAAUCUCCAAUCAUAGGAAAGAAAAAUCAAACGGAAACCUUAUGAAGUACCCUCAGUUCAGGCCCACAGUUCUUUGACACUGAGAAUUAAUGGUUGAGCUGUCAGACAAUGCUUUCUAGGCAAAUUCAGACCACAGUGAUGCUCAGAGCUCAGUGCAUAUCUCCAUCCAUGACACUAGAAGGUACACACGAUCAAACAAUACUCGAGCAAAAGUUAAGGAAGAGGAUCAUGGAACAACAUAAUAUUCAAAUUGGUAGACCAGGAACAAUAGAAGAUCAAAUCAGUAGGCCGUAGGGAUUAUGCUUAUGAUUUUCAUCAAGGAAGAAAACUCAGGUCUCAAAUAUGUGCCAUCACUGGACUCACCGAACUGAGCUGCAGAGAAAACGACGACUUAAAAACCAUCAAACACUCUAUAAAAUUUUAACAUAGAUCAAAUCAGAAACACAAAAGUUCUAUUUUGGAGGAAAUCUGGUAGGUGGGCAUCUGAAUUGAAGACUUUCACAACAUGGCACACAGAGCGCACCAAUCAGUCCCGAAAGAUGUGUGUUUUGUUCAUGAUUUUCAUCACUCUCCGGCCAGAUUCUCGACAAUACACAUAAUAUCUAAAGAAUUUUGAAAGUAUUCGGAAAAAUUACACACUUAAGAAGCAAAAACGACGAUCAAAAGCUGUUCAAUUUGGCCUCAGAAUUGCAGAAUGAGCAUGGGAGCACAUCAACCAAUCAGUCCCGAAAGAUGGUAUGAUUAAUAGGUUUUUCAUCACCAGGCAAACAUAAACAGAAAUACAGAUACACAAACAUCCAGGUCUACAGUACAGAACUUAGAUUACUACAGAAAUUGCAGAUUUGGCAGCAUGGCACAAUCAGUCCCGAUUGUUCGCGUUUCUCGCGUGCAGAAACCCAUUGAGAAGCACAACAUUGACCACCAGAAAUAACACUGCUCAGACAUCCAAGGAAGUAGCAGCAUCAGCUCUUAUGCGGCAACUGCAAACGUUUUGAAAAACAAGCCUUAACUUCAUCAUCAUUUCCAUAAAUUUUCCAGUAGCUACAGCUAUAUUAAAGAGGCAAUUUAAUCACAAUGAUAUAACAGGAAUCAAGUCCCAGAUCCUAUAACUGGUUUCCAAGCAAAGACAGACCUAAAAUUCAUCACUGGAUAACAGCACCGAGUUAAGAUUGUUUUCAAUACCUGUGGAAAAAUCCAUAAAUCAAAUAAACAAGAAAAGAAAUGGCAAAAGAACAAGACAGAAGGAGGUCCUCCAGGCUUUCAGAAGAGGGAGCUUGUUUGUCCUCAUCACAACAAUCUUCUCCAGGAAAAACAAAAGCAAAACAAACAUAAAACAAAGAAAACAAAACAAAACAAAGUAAAGUUAUAAAAUUAAGUCAGCACUGUCCUCCAGGCUUCCAAACACAGAAGACAGCAAGACAGAAGGACGUAGAGAAGUAACUGAACUAAAAAGGCAGAUGGCUCGGUCAUACAGAAAAUCAAUCUCAAAAGAGAAAAUGAUACUAGUAUACUGCCCAAAAUCACCAGAUGAUUUAGAAUAAUACUUGUAUUACUUAGACGUGACGUGACCCAUAAUCCACUGAUGUUCCACGAAUGUCAACUCGCACAGAAUAACCCUGACCACUCGUACCAAAACACACCGCAACCCAGUCUCAGAUAACAUAGGACACACAUAAUAACUAAGAAGCAGGCUUCACCGCCUCUGCAACAGAUCAUCGACUCAUUUAGUCGACCUCCUCGAUCUUGGGGCCAGCACCGCCGGAAGCAGCCGGGGUGUCGUCGUCCAUGCCGCCCUCCAUGUCGGCACCAGCGCCCUGGUACAUCUUGGCGAUGAUGGGGUUGCACAGGGCCUCCAGCUCCUUCAUCUUGUCCUCGAACUCGUCCGCCUCAGCGAGCUGGUUCGUGUCCAGCCACUGGAUGGCAGCGUCGAUGGCGUCCUCAAUCUUCUUCUUGUCGUCCGCUGGCAGCUUGGAGGCAAUCUUCUCAUCCUUGAUGGUGUUGCGCAUGUUGUAGGAGUAGUUCUCCAGGGCGUUCUUUGACUCCACCUUCUUCUUGUGCUCCUCAUCCUCAGACUU
This 39894-nucleotide long non-coding RNA is filed under the name Triticum aestivum (bread wheat). Its description in RNAcentral is "long non-coding RNA (TAES_LNC010778)". The stretch from base 37645 to 37759 matches the Rfam family "MIR1120/MIR1122 microRNA precursor family". Lineage: Eukaryota; Viridiplantae; Streptophyta; Magnoliopsida; Poales; Poaceae. The record is from RNAcentral.